GUAAUAAGCAGUCAGGAAGUGAUACAAAUAAAAUGUUGUCAGAGAGCCAACCUUUCAGUCUGAUACCCUUCUUUCUGAUGUGGUACAGUGGCAGUUAGCAGAAGGGGGAGAGAUCUGAUGUGGAUAACUCCUAACACUUUCUGGUCCCAACUCUGAAAGAUAUGUGGUACAAUUGUACAAGUAUGUUGAGUACAAGUAAAGCAUAUCACAAUUAGAUCUUACCUCUGAUGCAAGUUGUUACUAGCAUUG
Molecule: unclassified non-coding RNA, 249 nt
Filed under: Hevea brasiliensis (rubber tree)
Lineage: Eukaryota; Viridiplantae; Streptophyta; Magnoliopsida; Malpighiales; Euphorbiaceae
Source: RNAcentral